AUUGAACGCUGGCGGCAGGCCUAACACAUGCAAGUCGAACGGUAAGGCCCUUCGGGGUACACGAGUGGCGAACGGGUGAGUAACACGUGGGUGAUCUGCCCUGCACUUCGGGAUAAGCCUGGGAAACUGGGUCUAAUACCGGAUAGGACCCUGGGAUGCAUGUCCUGGGGUGGAAAGCUUUUGCGGUGUGGGAUGGGCCCGCGGCCUAUCAGCUUGUUGGUGGGGUGAUGGCCUACCAAGGCGACGACGGGUAGCCGGCCUGAGAGGGUGACCGGCAACACUGGGACGGAGAUACGGCCCAGACUCCUACGGGAGGCAGCAGUGGGGAAUAUUGCUCAAUGGGCGCAAGCCUGAUGCAGCGACGCCGCGUGAGGGAUGACGGCCUUCGGGUUGUAAACCUCUUUCAGCACCGACGAAGCGCAAGUGACGGUAGGUGCAGAAGAAGGACCGGCCAACUACGUGCCAGCCGCCGCCGUAA
RNAcentral lists this ribosomal RNA (478 nucleotides) under uncultured bacterium. RNAcentral describes it as "partial 16S ribosomal RNA". It matches the Rfam family "Bacterial small subunit ribosomal RNA", at positions 28 to 523 of the family's 1533-position model. The record is from RNAcentral.